UCACCACUGGCUGCGUCGACGUCGACGUCGGCGUCAAGUUCAACCUGAACAUCGAUUAACGAAAACUCACGCCUUAGCGUCGAUUUGACGUUUAGCUUAAUGGCCAAGCAUAAAUUGUCAAAAUUGUGUGUAGAAAAAAAAAACGAAAAAAAAAAAAAAACAGCAGCAAAUAUUGCCCAUAAAAUGGAGCCCAAACAGGCGAAUCGCUCCCUAGCUCUCAGAGCUACCCCAAACACUUGGCGUGACCAUAAAAUUAAAGCAAGUCAGCUGCAAAAACUCGUUCUAUCCAAAAUGAUAAACAAAGCAGCCAGAGUGGGUGAGAGAGAGAGAGAGAGAGAGAGAGAGAGAAGCGCACCUGACUGCAACUGACUCUUGAUAAACAUAAUAUAAAUAAUAAUAAAGAACUUUAGAUGUAAACUCAACUGACUGCGCGAUGAUCGCUCAGAACUUUAAGAGCAGACCUAGGCCAUAUAUACUGCUAUUCAUCUCCGAAACAUAUAUCGAUCUUCGAUAACCAACAUCGAUCAGAAGUCAUGUAAUCUAAGCUCUCAUUCAUUUCACUGAAACGUAUUUAUGUGCCCAGACUUUACUUCUCUAAAAUCGAUCAAUACUCAUCAACUCUUUGCGCCUCUAACAAAAUAUAUAUAUAAAUACCCAUCUAAGUAGGACUGUCGAUUCUCAAGACUCAUUAUGAAAGUUGAUAAAAAGUAAAUUUCCAGCUUAAUUGUAAUAUAAUCUUAGCCUCUCAUUUAUUCUACCUACAUAUACGCAGACUCUCUCUGCUCUACAAACAUCAGCUCCAUACUCAAUUAUAUCAGCUCCUUUUCCAGCCUUUUUCGAAAUCUGUAUUUAAACAGAAUCAAUAUAAAUACCCAUCUGAACGGCUAUUUGUGUUAAUGUCGCAUUUCUGUUGAAAUUUGCAAUGUUUGAUCGCGCUGAUCUGUGGCUCAGGUUGAUUUUCUCUGCAUUGUCGUCAAUGGGGCCACCAAGAUGCGUCAGCACAAAUAUUCAAUAUGUGACCGGAAAUGCGGCAAAGUUCCCCAAGCAACAACAGCAACAAAUGAAACAACAACAGCACUAGAGAAUUCCCAAGAUAACGGAGAAAAAGGUGCGUCAAUGAUUGGAUAGCCCAGCAAAUAAUGAGCAUAUUUACUUAAGCAUUUAGUUAUAAAAACAAAAAUCACUUUUCAAACCAGACCUCGCCAAUUUCGACAAUUCUCUGUAACAGUGACUAACAAAACUAUUGCAACACGCCAAAGGUUAAAGGCGAUUGGUUCCAGCUGACAUUUAACACAUUGUAAAAUUAACAAUAAGUACUGAAUGUUUAUGUUAAUUUAUAUAACUCACAGUUUCUCUAAGGGGAAUACUGAGAGACAUUCAGCUAUACACCUCAAAUGACUUUGCCAACAAAAACUGGCAAAAUGUGCGAUAUAUAAUAUGGAAACCAUCUAAUAUCGAUUAACCAUGUAAACAAAAAAAUCUCCUUAAAUGAUAGCGUUAAUAAAUUAAAGAAAAUUUUAAGAAAUUGUAA
This is a long non-coding RNA of Drosophila mojavensis, 1531 nucleotides long. RefSeq lists it as uncharacterized. NCBI's taxonomy places the organism in Eukaryota, Metazoa, Arthropoda, Insecta, Diptera, Drosophilidae. The record is from RefSeq and is a predicted model, not a curated record. The transcript is spliced from 2 exons.